GGUUAAGCGACUAAGCGUACACGGUGGAUGCCCUGGCAGUCAGAGGCGAUGAAGGACGUGCUAAUCUGCGAUAAGCGUCGGUAAGGUGAUAUGAACCGUUAUAACCGGCGAUUUCCGAAUGGGGAAACCCAGUGUGUUUCGACACACUAUCAUUAACUGAAUCCAUAGGUUAAUGAGGCGAACCGGGGGAACUGAAACAUCUAAGUACCCCGAGGAAAAGAAAUCAACCGAGAUUCCCCCAGUAGCGGCGAGCGAACGGGGAGCAGCCCAGAGCCUGAAUCAGUGUGUGUGUUAGUGGAAGCGUCUGGAAAGGCGCGCGAUACAGGGUGACAGCCCCGUACACAAAAAUGCACAUGCUGUGAGCUCGAUGAGUAGGGCGGGACACGUGGUAUCCUGUCUGAAUAUGGGGGGACCAUCCUCCAAGGCUAAAUACUCCUGACUGACCGAUAGUGAACCAGUACCGUGAGGGAAAGGCGAAAAGAACCCCGGCGAGGGGAGUGAAAAAGAACCUGAAACCGUGUACGUACAAGCAGUGGGAGCACGCUUCGGCGUGUGACUGCGUACCUUUUGUAUAAUGGGUCAGCGACUUAUAUUCUGUAGCAAGGUUAACCGAAUAGGGGAGCCGAAGGGAAACCGAGUCUUAACUGGGCGUUAAGUUGCAGGGUAUAGACCCGAAACCCGGUGAUCUAGCCAUGGGCAGGUUGAAGGUUGGGUAACACUAACUGGAGGACCGAACCGACUAAUGUUGAAAAAUUAGCGGAUGACUUGUGGCUGGGGGUGAAAGGCCAAUCAAACCGGGAGAUAGCUGGUUCUCCCCGAAAGCUAUUUAGGUAGCGCCUCGUGAAUUCAUCUCCGGGGGUAGAGCACUGUUUCGGCAAGGGGGUCAUCCCGACUUACCAACCCGAUGCAAACUGCGAAUACCGGAGAAUGUUAUCACGGGAGACACACGGCGGGUGCUAACGUCCGUCGUGAAGAGGGAAACAACCCAGACCGCCAGCUAAGGUCCCAAAGUCAUGGUUAAGUGGGAAACGAUGUGGGAAGGCCCAGACAGCCAGGAUGUUGGCUUAGAAGCAGCCAUCAUUUAAAGAAAGCGUAAUAGCUCACUGGUCGAGUCGGCCUGCGCGGAAGAUGUAACGGGGCUAAACCAUGCACCGAAGCUGCGGCAGCGACACUAUGUGUUGUUGGGUAGGGGAGCGUUCUGUAAGCCUGCGAAGGUGUGCUGUGAGGCAUGCUGGAGGUAUCAGAAGUGCGAAUGCUGACAUAAGUAACGAUAAAGCGGGUGAAAAGCCCGCUCGCCGGAAGACCAAGGGUUCCUGUCCAACGUUAAUCGGGGCAGGGUGAGUCGACCCCUAAGGCGAGGCCGAAAGGCGUAGUCGAUGGGAAACAGGUUAAUAUUCCUGUACUUGGUGUUACUGCGAAGGGGGGACGGAGAAGGCUAUGUUGGCCGGGCGACGGUUGUCCCGGUUUAAGCGUGUAGGCUGGUUUUCCAGGCAAAUCCGGAAAAUCAAGGCUGAGGCGUGAUGACGAGGCACUACGGUGCUGAAGCAACAAAUGCCCUGCUUCCAGGAAAAGCCUCUAAGCAUCAGGUAACAUUAAAUCGUACCCCAAACCGACACAGGUGGUCAGGUAGAGAAUACCAAGGCGCUUGAGAGAACUCGGGUGAAGGAACUAGGCAAAAUGGUGCCGUAACUUCGGGAGAAGGCACGCUGAUAUGUAGGUGAAGUCCCUCGCGGAUGGAGCUGAAAUCAGUCGAAGAUACCAGCUGGCUGCAACUGUUUAUUAAAAACACAGCACUGUGCAAACACGAAAGUGGACGUAUACGGUGUGACGCCUGCCCGGUGCCGGAAGGUUAAUUGAUGGGGUUAGCGGUAACGCGAAGCUCUUGAUCGAAGCCCCGGUAAACGGCGGCCGUAACUAUAACGGUCCUAAGGUAGCGAAAUUCCUUGUCGGGUAAGUUCCGACCUGCACGAAUGGCGUAAUGAUGGCCAGGCUGUCUCCACCCGAGACUCAGUGAAAUUGAACUCGCUGUGAAGAUGCAGUGUACCCGCGGCAAGACGGAAAGACCCCGUGAACCUUUACUAUAGCUUGACACUGAACAUUGAGCCUUGAUGUGUAGGAUAGGUGGGAGGCUUUGAAGUGUGGACGCCAGUCUGCAUGGAGCCGACCUUGAAAUACCACCCUUUAAUGUUUGAUGUUCUAACGUGGACCCGUAAUCCGGGUUGCGGACAGUGUCUGGUGGGUAGUUUGACUGGGGCGGUCUCCUCCUAAAGAGUAACGGAGGAGCACGAAGGUUGGCUAAUCCUGGUCGGACAUCAGGAGGUUAGUGCAAUGGCAUAAGCCAGCUUGACUGCGAGCGUGACGGCGCGAGCAGGUGCGAAAGCAGGUCAUAGUGAUCCGGUGGUUCUGAAUGGAAGGGCCAUCGCUCAACGGAUAAAAGGUACUCCGGGGAUAACAGGCUGAUACCGCCCAAGAGUUCAUAUCGACGGCGGUGUUUGGCACCUCGAUGUCGGCUCAUCACAUCCUGGGGCUGAAGUAGGUCCCAAGGGUAUGGCUGUUCGCCAUUUAAAGUGGUACGCGAGCUGGGUUUAGAACGUCGUGAGACAGUUCGGUCCCUAUCUGCCGUGGGCGCUGGAGAACUGAGGGGGGCUGCUCCUAGUACGAGAGGACCGGAGUGGACGCAUCACUGGUGUUCGGGUUGUCAUGCCAAUGGCACUGCCCGGUAGCUAAAUGCGGAAGAGAUAAGUGCUGAAAGCAUCUAAGCACGAAACUUGCCCCGAGAUGAGUUCUCCCUGACCCUUUAAGGGUCCUGAAGGAACGUUGAAGACGACGACGUUGAUAGGCCGGGUGUGUAAGCGCAGCGAUGCGUUGAGCUAACCGGUACUAAUGAACCGUGAGGCUUAACCUU
RNAcentral lists this ribosomal RNA (2905 nucleotides) under Escherichia coli. Its description in RNAcentral is "23S ribosomal RNA". It matches the Rfam family "Bacterial large subunit ribosomal RNA". The record is from RNAcentral. Lineage: Bacteria; Pseudomonadati; Pseudomonadota; Gammaproteobacteria; Enterobacterales; Enterobacteriaceae.